AAAUUGAAGAGUUUGAUCAUGGCUCAGAUUGAACGCUGGCGGCAGGCCUAACACAUGCAAGUCGAACGGUAACAGGAAGAAGCUUGCUUCUUUGCUGACGAGUGGCGGACGGGUGAGUAAUGUCUGGGAAACUGCCUGAUGGAGGGGGAUAACUACUGGAAACGGUAGCUAAUACCGCAUAACGUCGCAAGACCAAAGAGGGGGACCUUCGGGCCUCUUGCCAUCGGAUGUGCCCAGAUGGGAUUAGCUUGUUGGUGGGGUAACGGCUCACCAAGGCGACGAUCCCUAGCUGGUCUGAGAGGAUGACCAGCCACACUGGAACUGAGACACGGU
RNAcentral lists this ribosomal RNA (333 nucleotides) under Escherichia coli. RNAcentral describes it as "bacterial SSU rRNA". It matches the Rfam family "Bacterial small subunit ribosomal RNA", at positions 1 to 330 of the family's 1533-position model. The record is from RNAcentral. Lineage: Bacteria; Pseudomonadati; Pseudomonadota; Gammaproteobacteria; Enterobacterales; Enterobacteriaceae.